This 6263-nucleotide long non-coding RNA is filed under the name Vigna radiata. Its description in RNAcentral is "long non-coding RNA (VRAD_LNC005296)". The record is from RNAcentral. Lineage: Eukaryota; Viridiplantae; Streptophyta; Magnoliopsida; Fabales; Fabaceae.
AAUUAUUUCAUGGAGAUAUACAAUGUGCAAUGCGUUUCAACCAAUGAUUCAUAAAUAAAGUUGCUUUUGCCAACUUAACUAAAUACAUUUUAAACUUGUGGUGAAGUUCAAAUCCUAACUUCAAUCAAUAUUUUAAACAAUUUGAUAUUAUCCCUCCAAGCAUGUUAUACAUAUGUAAUCAACCUGGUGUCCUAAAAUUGUUGGGCCUUCCACAAUUUAGCCUACAUUAGAUGAGCUACCUUAUGUUGUAAUGCCUUGUCUUCUCUGUGCCUUCUAUAGUCAUGGAUCCACCUAAAUUUUGAACUUGGUCUUGGUCUUAAUCAUUGUAAUCAUAUCCUUGGGCUUCGAUGUACAUGUCAUUCCCUUGCUACCUCUUGAGAAAGAUUUGUUGUCAAACCCAAAUCUUCAUCCUGUUGCGAAAGAUUUGUUGUCAAACCGAAAUCUUUAUCCUCUGCAGUAAAAGGAGAUAAAUAAAAAACAUUAAAAGUGCUACUAACAUUAUACUCACAUGGAAAAUCAGUCUUAUAGGAAUUGUCAUUUAUCAUUUUUAGCAUUCAGAAUGGCCUAUCCCCUCUAGGUUGGAUCUUGGAUUUUCUUUAUUAAGGGAAUCAUCUUCCUCAUAUGUAUUGAUAUGGAACAACAUGCCUAGAUAGAAAAGAAAACUAAGAACUAAACAAGAAUAAUUAAAAAUGGAAUUAAAAGACUAAAAAUGAAAGAGAGAAAGGAAAGGAAACUUAGGAGAAUGAAGCCAUAUCACUUGGAAGGAUCCAAGAUAAGUGCCAAGGUUUAAUAUUUUUUUCCAAGGUUUAAUAUUUUUUUCUUUUUUGUAAUAAGAGCUCUAAGAAAAGUAGAAAUAGUUUUGUUAACCACUUCAAUUUGUCCAUUGGUUUGGGAAUGACAUGCAAUUGAAAACAACAACUUGGUUUUGAUCUUACUCCCACAAAGUUUGCCAAAAGUGACUAAGAAAUCUGGAAUCCUGAUGACAUACAAUACUCCUAAGUAAACCAUGCAAUUUCACCAUCUCCUUGAAAAACAAAUCAGCAAAAUGACAUGUGUCAUCUACCUUUUGUCAUGCUGUGGAGUCAUAGUAAAAAACAUGUCAACCACCACAAAAUUUUAGUCCUUUCCUAUCUUGGACUGAGGCAAACCUAGAACAAAAUUCAUAGAAAUCUCAACCUAAGGAUGUUCAGGAACUGGUAAUGGAGUAGACAAACCAUGUGGCAUAACUCUUGAUAUAGCCUUCUUGCAUACAAGACAUUUAUCAGUACACUUAUGCAUGUUAUGCUUCAUGUGUGCCUCUCUAAUAAGCUAGUCCCUAACUGAACCAUUAGGUACACAAAGUCUCUUACCCCAUAACAACUACCUACAUGGCGUAAACUGCCCAUAAGAUGGAGUAUGAGAACAUGUUUGAUAUUUAUAAGAAAAGUCAGUAUCAUGCUCGCACAAUUCAUUAGUGCACUCAAAACCAAGAAACUUAGUUUCAAGGUUAGACAAUAAUGCAUGGCUACAAUAGACUACUAUUACAUUAUUAUUACCUUUCUUAUGUCUAAUAACAUGAAAAUUGUUCAAGAAAUUCCACCCACUUGCCUCUUGUUCAAGUGUCCUUUCCCUUUCAAAUAUUUCAAAAAUCACAAUGAAUAAUAAGUUCUUUGGACAAGAGAUAAUAAUGUAAAAUUCACAAAACUCCAAUUAAAGCAUAAAAUUCCUUAUUAUAUACAAAAUAGUUAAUAAGACCUCCAUUCAGUUUAUCACAAAAAUAUGCAAUGAGAUGCCCCUCUUGAAUCAACACAGCCUUGAUGCCUACCUGAGAUGGAUCACAUUCAAACUCAAAGGAUUUAAGAGAAUUAGGCAAAGCAAGAACAAGAGAAUUAUUAAACUUUUCUUUCAAAGCAGUUAAAGCCUUCUCUUGUUGAUCACUCAAAAGCACCAUUUUUCUUUAUAAUUUCAUUAAGCGAUGUAACCAAAAGGCUAAAAUACUUAAUAAGAUGUGAAUGCUCCUUACUCACUUACAUUUUUAGAGUUUGACCAAUUUUGAAUGGUUUUCACCUUCUUUUGAUCAACAUGCAGUCCUUGUGAGCUAAUAAUAAAUCCAAGAAAAAUAACAUGGUCCAUGCAGGACACACAUUUUUCCAUGUUAGCAUACAAUUUCUCAAGUAUAAGUGCUUCCGAAAUACACCUCAAAUGCACAUCAUGGUCAUUAUAAGAUUUGCUAUAUUAUUUUUGAAUAUAGUGAAAACUAUGUAAGCGAUUAGUCUCUUGUGUUGAAUACAUACAUUUGGUUCUCUAUUUAUAAUAAAAGAAAUAUGGGCUAAGCUCAAAGUACAAAUAAAAAAUAAUAACAAACAAACUAAAGAUAAAAGAUAAAGAAAAGAUAAAGAUAAUAUAUCUAACACUUUCUCUCAUGUUGGUGAAUACAAAUCAUAUGUACCAAGCUUGUUACAAAUCUAAUCAAUUAUCAGCCCCCGUAAAAUCAUUUGUACCAAGCUUGGUCGUCUCAUGAAAGAUUGGAUUAAAACUAAUAUGAAGAGCAACUUCGUUGUCAAAUAUAAGUGUCAAACAAGCUCACAAGUGGUUGAGGCCAUAGCUCUAUAUUCUGCUUCUGCACUAGAUCUUGCCACAACACUCUAUUGCGUGCUUUUCCCAAAGAUCAAGUUACUACCAAUGGAGACACAAUAUUCGGAUGUAGUCCUUCUAUCAGAAGGAGAUCCUGUCCAACUAGCAUCAAAAUAACAAACCACUCUUGUAUGGUUUUUAGAGCCAUAUAACAACCCUUUUCUAGGAGAUCCUUUAAUGUACUUUAAUAUACGAAUAACUACAUUCCAAUGAUUUUCACAUGGAGAAUUAAGGAAUGUGCUUACCACACUAACUGCAAAGGAAAUGUCAGGACGAGUAACUGUAAGAUAAUUCAAUUUUUCAACUAGUUUUCUAUAUUUCUCGGGGUCUGACAUAGGCUCCCCUGUUUUGGUAGAAGUUUAGUAUUGGAAUCCAUGGGUGUGUCCACAGAUUUUGAAUUCAUCAAUUUAGUUUCCUCCAAAAUAUCUAAUGCAUACUUCCUUUGAGAUAUAACAAUAUCAUCGUUGGAUUGUGCCACCUCAAUACCCAAGAAAUAUCUAAGUUUGCCAAGAUCUUUGGUCUGAAAAUGGUUGCAAAGAGAUGCCAUGAUUGUCACUGUUUGUAAGAACAAUGUCAUCAACAUAUAUUACCAAGUAGAUACAUCCAACACUUGAUGACGGUAAAAGAUUGAAUGAUCUGCCUUACACCGAGUUAUACCAAAUUGUUGAACAAAGUUACUAAAUUUUCCAAACUAGGCCCUAGGAGAUUGUUUUAGGCCAUAUAAGGAUUUGCGAAGACGACAUACCAACCCAGAAGACUCUCCCUAAGGAACAAAUCUUGGAGUUUGUUACAUAUGAAUCUCUUCUUACAAAUCUUUGUUAAGGAAUGCAUUUUUGACAUCCUGUUGUUAAAGAAGUUAUUGUUGAAGAGUCACCACAACUAUAAAUAAACAAACAGAUGUCAUCUUUGCCAUUGAAGAAAAAGUAUCACCAUAAUGCAAUCCAAAAAUUUGUGUGUAACCUUUGGCCACAGGACGAGCUUUGAGGCGAUAAAUAGUUCCAUCAGGACUAACUUUGAUAGAAAAACCCCACCUGCAACCAACAAUAGAUCUUCUAAACAGUAAUGGGACAAACUCCCAAGUUCCAUUAUUCUAAAGAGUACUUAAUUCAUCUAGCAUGGCCUAACGCCAACCAGGAUAGGCUAAGGCAUCAAUAACAAAUUUUGGUAUGGUCACAGAAGAAAUAGACAAAAGGAAGGUAUAAAAGGUGAAGACAGUCCAUGAUAACUUAAAGUAAUAUAAUGUGGAGAGAGAUUACUUGUAAAACAUAUACCUUUUCGGAGGGCAAUUAGAAGGGUAGACUCAGUUAUCGAAGCCGAAGGAGACAAGGUAGUUGGCACUUGAAUUUAGUUGGAAGGGUAGACCCUUGUGCUUCGUACUUAUAGCAACCCCUUAUGCAAGGUCUAUCUCACCCUUCAAUGUUCUUGACACAAUUUAAAAAUGUAGAAAAGAGUAAAUGAAGACUCAAAUGGAAUAUAUUUGAUUCUUUAAUAUUGUUAAACAAGAAAUCAUAAGGAUACAACUAUCCCACUGCCCAGAGAAAAGCUCCUAAGAGAAACCGAAAAUGGCUCCCUCUCCAAUUAAGCAUCAAAAUAAAUGCCUCCCCAAAACCUACCUCCCUGAUCCUUUUAAACAACCAAUACCCCUUUCUUUCUCUUCUAACCAACCUAUUCCUCCCUAGUGUGCCACGUCACCCUUCUUAGUCGUUUUCCUCUCAUAUACUUUGCCCAACCUUUUCUUACUCUUCUCUUCUUGGAUCAAGGGUUUAGCCUAAUUGUAACAUCCUAUUUUAAUAGUGUAAAACUAUUAAAAUAAAAUGUACAUACAUGAUAACUUACAAGGAACCUGAGACUAAUAUAGUAGAAGAUUAUAUACCCUUAAAGAGCAAAAACUAUCUAUCAUAUUGCUUCUCUCUCAACCAACUGUUGAAUCAACUAAAAAGAUGUCCCCUUCCUAAGCUAACAUUGGUUAAGGUGAUGAUUGCAAAGGAGAAAACAGCACACAGACAGACAAAACACAAAAACAAUGAUAAGCUAGUGAUACAAAACAUUUCAUAAUAUACUUAAGUAUUUUAAACAUUCCACAUAUGAUACAGGUAACACAAUUUAACCAACCAAACACUUUACACAUGACCAUACUUUAACAGAACUAUCCGUACUUAGAAUGAAUGUCGGACUAUGGCAGGUUGUGCACUUGUGGUAGCUUUUACUGCUUUGCAAAGUCAUUGCCAAUGGGUUUCACCCUACCACACUCACAAGGUUAGUCUGUUCCACGCCUUGAAUCAUACUAGAAGCACCCAAGACUAAGACCUCCUGCUACUCUCACCACUUGUGUCAAUCUUCUCUACUUGAGAAUGAAAGACCAUUAGAGUCUUAGGAUAACCCUUAAGACUGAGCUCCCUGCAUUCAUACUAAUGAUACUUGAAACCACCACUGAGAAGUUCCUCCUUGGAACUCUCUUCCAUACCUUUGAAACCAUUGAGAUCACCGCGCAUUCACAUAGUACACCAAUACAUGAGACUACUAAUCAUACAUUAGAAAUAGAAACACACAUACAAGUCAUCAGAAAUGACAUAACACAAUUUCUUCAUGACAUCUUGAUAGUCACAUUUAGAUAAGGAAAACAGCUUUGAAACUCUCACCAACAACUCUGGAAGGGUCCAAAACCCCCUAAAACGAUAUAAAGAAUGUUAAAAAUGGACAUUCAGUUGAAAAAAAUUAAAAUCUGGCUGAGUGGUGUUGAGCGCCCCAAAAAGGGGCCCGGGCGCCAAACCCCUAGAACAGAGCACUCAAGGGGCACUCUGGCGAGUUCUUCUCGCAACAAUGACACCCAAGGGCCCUUGGAGAGCACUCAGCACUGCACCAGGUUCCAAAAUUCACCUAUUUUGAAUUUGGUGACCCUUUACACAAGUUUAAAUGAUUCCUAAACACUCUUAGGCGCUGAGAAACAUCUAAAAACAAACCUCUAACUUGAAUUGAUCACUCCAAACCUAAAUUGACCUAUGAAAACCCAAAUUCACUCUUAUAAGCUACCCAAACUCAAAUCUACACUUUCUAGUCCCCAUAUCAGUUUCCUAACUGUAUAACCAGGUCCAAAUACACUUGUUAGUACAUUCCAACACCUCAGAUUGCUGAUAGUCACUCUACUUUAAAUUUCCAACCCCCAAAACCUCCAAAAUGAACCAAUCUAUGAAGCAAUUUUCACCUUUCUGACAGACUUUUACUGAUUUGAAUAUCUAUACAAGUUUUAAUUGGUCCCAUAACCUGUUCCAAACUCUCCAAAACAAUUUAAAUCCCUUACUUCAAAAUCUCACUAUCCAAAACUCCAUUUUCACACUAAAAGCACCCUAAGCUUCAAAUUUGCACUACCUCUAUGAUAGAUUAGAUUUUAAUCAUAUUAUACCUCCAAGAAGUCUUAAUUUACCUCAUGAUAGCACCUCAAUAACAGUUUCCUCACAUCAGCCCCAAAUUCUCAAACUCACACCUUCAACCCCCCCCCCCCCACCUUGUCACCAUGGUUGAUUAAGCACCUCCUGAUCAUCAAAGAGAUGUCUCAGGAGUUAGAACGCUUGGAGAAGAUAGAGAACUCUAAAAAGUGAUUUCUAGAGAAAUAAUGUUUUAAAAUAAUGAAACUCAUUUAUAACAAAACUAUU